AGAGUUUGAUCCUGGCUCAGGACGAACGCUGGCGGCAUGCCUAAUACAUGCAAGUCGAACGCUGAAGCUCUCUGCUUGCAGAGAGUGGAAGAGUGGCGGACGGGUGAGUAACACGUGGGGAACCUGCCCAUGAGAGGGGGGUAACAUCCGGAAACGGAUGCUAAUACCGCAUAAUUAAAGAAACCGCAUGGUUUUUUUAUCAAAGAUGGCUUCGGCUGUUGCUCAUGGAUGGCCCCGCGGCGUAUUAGCUAGUUGGUAAGGUAAUGGCUUACCAAGGCGAUGAUACGUAGCCGACCUGAGAGGGUGAUCGGCCACACUGGGACUGAGACACGGCCCAGACUCCUACGGGAGGCAGCAGUAGGGAAUCUUCCGCAAUGGACGAAAGUCUGACGGAGCAAUGCCGCGUGAGUGAAGAAGGUUUUCGGAUCGUAAAGCUCUGUUACUGGAGAAGAACACGGGUAAGAGUAACUGUUUACCCUUUGACGGUAUCCAGUCAGAAAGUCACGGCUAACUACGUGCCAGCAGCCGCGGUAAUACGUAGGUGACAAGCGUUGUCCGGAUUUAUUGGGCGUAAAGCGAGCGCAGGCGGUUUUUUAAGUCUGAUGUGAAAGCCCCCGGCUCAACCGGGGAGGGUCAUUGGAAACUGGAGAACUUGAGUGCAGAAGAGAAGAGUGGAAUUCCAUGUGUAGCGGUGAAAUGCGUAGAUGUAUGGAGGAACACCAGUGGCGAAGGCGACUCUCUGGUCUGUAACUGACGCUGAGGCUCGAAAGCGUGGGGAGCAAACAGGAUUAGAUACCCUGGUAGUCCACGCCGUAAACGAUGAGUGCUAAGUGUUGGAGGGUUUCCGCCCUUCAGUGCUGCAGCUAACGCAUUAAGCCUCCGCCUGGA
Molecule: ribosomal RNA, 888 nt
Filed under: uncultured bacterium
Lineage: Bacteria
Description: bacterial SSU rRNA
Rfam family: Bacterial small subunit ribosomal RNA
Source: RNAcentral